ACAAGAUUUCUUGAACGGGAAAUGUUCUAUAGGUUGUACAUCUAUUUAUAUUGAUACAAUGGAGAAACACACAACAAUCUAGAAGGUGACACAUUGCCACAUUGCCAGAGUGUGAGUACUGGAUGUGGCCCCACAUGCACCUACCAUCCAUAGAGGAUCGCUCUUAUCAAGCCAAUGGCUGAUAAGACGACCACGUGGCAGUCUAUCAGAUU
RNAcentral lists this small nucleolar RNA (212 nucleotides) under Amborella trichopoda. Its description in RNAcentral is "snoRNA Plant_U3". Lineage: Eukaryota; Viridiplantae; Streptophyta; Magnoliopsida; Amborellales; Amborellaceae. The record is from RNAcentral.